GUAGGGGGCGAGCGUUGUCGGAUUUAUUGGGCGUAAAGAGCUCGUAGGCGGUUGCGUAAGUCGGGAUGUGAAAACUCAGGGGCUCAACCCUGAGAUGCCAUUCGAUACUGCGCUGACUCGAGUCCGGUAGGGGAGCAUGGAAUUCCUGGUGUAGCGGUGAAAUGCGCAGAUAUCAGGAGGAACACCAGUGGCGAAGGCGGUGCUCUGGGCCGGUACUGACGCUGAGGAGCGAAAGCAUGGGUAGCAAACAGGAUUAGAUACCCUGGUAGUCCAUGCCGUAAACGUUGGGCACUAGGUGUGGGGCCUACUUAACGGGUUCCGUGCCGUAGCUAACGCAUUAAGUGCCCCGCCUGGGGAGUACGGCCGCAAAGGCUA
This 375-nucleotide ribosomal RNA is filed under the name uncultured organism. Its description in RNAcentral is "partial 16S ribosomal RNA". It matches the Rfam family "Bacterial small subunit ribosomal RNA", at positions 527 to 896 of the family's 1533-position model. The record is from RNAcentral.